Molecule: long non-coding RNA, 439 nt
Organism: Gossypium raimondii (Peruvian cotton)
Lineage: Eukaryota; Viridiplantae; Streptophyta; Magnoliopsida; Malvales; Malvaceae
Exons: 2
Source: RefSeq, a predicted model, not a curated record
GAUAUGGUGAUUCCCACCAAGCAAAGGGCUUCUUAGACACCCAACAUUUUGCACAACCAAACAUGACCAGAACUUCUAAACCUACAUGUUGAGAUUCACACUCAAGGGCAAGAAACAUCUCAGCAACUCAUUGGGAUCGAGCAGUCAAAAUUCAGAAUCAAGUAACACACAAGAGCUAGAUUUGGAGCUUAGACUGUCAUUGUAAUCAGUAAUUUUUUUUGCUACUUUAAAUGCAUACUCAUGGAACUACAUUUUAUGCUUUCCUAGAAUUGUAAGUUCAAAUAAGGUGUUGAUCUGUAAUUUAUACAUACAACUUGAGCAAGUUGAUAUGAACUAGUUUCAAAUUUUUUUUAAAAAAAAAUCAAAGGAAUGUUAUGUAAUCAAAGGCAAUUUGACUUGCUGCAUGAGAUAUAGUGAAAAACAUUUAUCUUCUUGUUCA